UUAUUCUCAAUGGUAAUAUAUCAUACAUUAAUUGUCCAAAAAGAAAAAGACACAUAGUCUCCAUCCAGAAGUUGUGUCAUUGGCAAUACAAACACAUGCAUGGCUGUAUAUAUUUUUGUCAAUAUACACAUCACGUACGCAUCGGGUGAUUUUUGUUCUCCAUGUCAUCUCCUUGAUGUGAGGACAUCCCAUAGAUCAUAAUUCUUCUCGCACACGUCUCCAUAGAUUGUAAUUCUUCUCGCAUGCGUCUCCGGCUUCACACUGCCAACAACAGCUUAUACAACAUAUCUCAUUGUCCGCAGCGGAUGACCACUUCCCUCGCUUCUAUCACGAACGGGUUGCCGUCAUUUCCGACCAGCUCAAAUCACACAUGUUUGGACAAAUAGCUCCCCUGUAAAAGUAACAAUCUCAUAAGCAUCAUCAUACGUAUUCCUAACUAUCUUUUUGAUUUUGUAGUUCAAUGACGAAGUCUUCCAUGGCAUACAAAACCUUUUGUCAGAUCAAUACUACUAGUAGAGGAAAGGAAAUAACAAUCGAGGCAAGAGUAUCAAGACUAUGGGAUUCCAUAUUGAUCAGUAAUGGUGAAAUAGUUAGUCUAGACAUGGUCCUUAUUGAUCAAGAGGUAUUAUGGUUCUCUCAUAGAAAUUGCAUCCUUUCUUGAAUUAUUUUGAUAAUUUAGCUUCAAUAUACAUGCUAAUUACAAAUACAAUUGAAGGGGACAAUGUUGCAUGGAGUUAUCAAUAAGGCAUAUAUCGAAAAGUUAAGGUCAUUUAUUCAAGAAGGCAAUGUGUACCUCAUUAAAAAUGUGAGUCAUUCCAGCAGCAGCAAGAUUUCGACCUGUACAAAAUGAUAUGAUGAUCAACUUCUUGCCCACAACAAAUAUAGAGGAAAUUGAAGAUAAUGAAGACAUUUCAAAGCAUGGUUUCAACUUUUCAAGCAUGGAGGUACUCUCCCAAAGAGUAAGCAUUGACACUUUUCUCUCAGGUAUGAUAUCAUUGAACUUUUUAGAUACAGUAUGCAAUAUUUUUUCAUGUCAUGUAUAGAAUGCCAUCUAAAUUCAUGUGCUAACAGAUGUUAUUGGAGUUGCAGCACACAUAGGACCAAUUGAAGGAACUAAAACAUAUCUUGGGGUCUCGAGAAUCCGUGAUAUUUUCCUUCUAAUUGAGUAAGCCAAAAAUACAUCUUAUUUGCAGCCAAGGUGCUCAUGUCAUGUCUUCACAAUUGUUCUACUCUUUGUUGACAGAGACGAGGAAGUGAAAGUUAGAUUAUGGGGUGACAAAGCUGAUCUAAUUGAUGUGAAGUCAAUAGGGAAUGUCAUUAUAAUUACAUCAACAACAGUGAGGAAAUUUGGCAGUAUGUCUUCUUUCAAAUUUUAAUCACUUAUUUUAUUAUCUCUCUGCUCGGCUUUACAUAGGAAAAUUAUUAUCUGAACCACUAUGCAGGAUAUUCUCUAUCGUCAAAUAGUGCAACUCAAGUUUUUAUAAAUUUAGAUAUUCCUGAGACUAUGGAUGUACAAAACAGGUGAGUGAAAUUCCUACAAACAUUGCCCUUUUAAUGUCAAUGUGAGUACUACCUACCCUGGCUCAUAACUUUGUCUCCAAAUAGCAUUUGUUCCAAGGAAAAAAUUAUCAAAGAACUACAUGUUGAGGAGAACCAUCUAAAAGGUACACUAGAGCAAAUGCGCUACAAUAGAGAAACUUUAGAAGAGUUAAAUGGCAUUCUGUUAGACUCAUCAAAUGAGGUUCGUAAUCGAGUGAUAAUAAUGAAUUGUUUUUUCCCAAUCAUAAGCAUAGAUAUAUUUAUAUUUACUCUACAGGGAAGGAUAUUUACCGUGGAAGCAGUAAUUAAUGAUGUUUAUACAAGAUAUGGUUGGUACUACAUAUCAUGCAGCGAAAAUAAUUGCAAGAAGCUACUUGAAAAGAGAAUUGAUUGCUACUAUUGUACCAAAUGCGAUGGAAAGCUCAACCCAAACCACGGUAAAGAGUUUAACAAAUCUCUAUGACUCUAUCUUAAUAGUUUUAAUAGAAUAUUUUUAAAAUAAAUUCAUUAAAUAUUUUGCAGAUAUAAGAUUAAGCUUCAAAUCAGUGAUUCGACUGCAUCUGCAUCUUGCGUACUUUUUGAAAAAGAAGCUCAACAAAUAAUUCAUGAGUCGGCAGAAAACAUGGUUGCAUCAAUUUGUAAUGAAAGUGACAAGCUUCCAAAACCAAUCCAAGAGAUUUGUGGUCAGACUGUAAUUUUUCAAUUUAGAUUGACAAACUACAAUUUCACAAGUUGUAGACCAGACUACACAGUCUCAAGACUAUUCUUUCUAGAGACCGGUAGUUCAUCUAUGAAGAGUGACAACAAAGAAACGGUAUGAUAUUUACUGAUUUUCCUGCAUUCCAUUAUAUUUCUCAAAGUUAAUAUUUGCGUCAAAAUUGAAAAAAAUGGAAAAAAAACAACGUUCCUAAUUAUCUGUAGAUUACACUCCCUUAUGCAUCAUCUAUUUCAUAAUAUACUAUAUUUUAGACAUAAUGGAACUGACCUAAUCUUCUGAUGCUUAUGUAGAGUAAGCCGAAGAAUUUUUCAAAAGAU
RNAcentral lists this long non-coding RNA (2574 nucleotides) under Triticum aestivum (bread wheat). Its description in RNAcentral is "long non-coding RNA (TAES_LNC003515)". The record is from RNAcentral. Lineage: Eukaryota; Viridiplantae; Streptophyta; Magnoliopsida; Poales; Poaceae.